Cyprinus carpio carpio is the source of this 6319-nucleotide long non-coding RNA. NCBI's taxonomy places the organism in Eukaryota, Metazoa, Chordata, Actinopteri, Cypriniformes, Cyprinidae. The record is from Ensembl.
GGGAAAUGAACAAGUGUCUCAGCCCUCAAGGGACUAUUUGGCCAACCAGCUUAUUCCUGCUUGAAAAGCUAAAUGUUAUUAAUAGUGUAAAAAACAUCAACUUUGAAGCACAUGCUGAUUGAUGGACCAGCAUUACUCAACAUUACUUACUACCUUCCAGCAACACUACAUUCACUGAAGGUAAAAUAGUAAAAAAACAUAAUAAUAGUUCAUUUAAAUGGAAUCAGAACAAAAAAAUUGUAUACUGUAAUAUAUGUUGAAUUUUGACAUUGCCAACCUUUAAAUUAAGAUGAUAGUAAGUAAUAAACAGUAUUGAGCACUGAGUAGUUGAGUAUUGUGCAUUUUUCCUUACCACUAUUUUCUUAAUAGUUGUUUAAUAAUUUUAAUGGAACCGGAAACAGAACCGGAACCGUUAGGCGGACCGGACCGGAAAAUUUCUAACGAUUCCCAACCAUAAUUGUGAUGGUGGUAAGUAACUUUGCAAGUACAACUUAUUCUAACCCUAGCAGUCUACUUAUACUCUGCUAUCACUCUAGUGAGAGUUAAUUGAUAUGUAGAUGCAAUGUUACUUAUAGUCAAUGGAAUAUGUUAAAGGGAGCAUCAAAAUAAAGUGAAACCUUUGACUUUAUUUGUGACGCAUCCUUCAGAGAAGGCUGCUGUAGUGUCCGGAGGCCGUUUCAGUCUGUCAGUGUUGCUUUGUCAUCUUCCCGUCUGACAAUCCCAGUGAACUGCUCAGUUUGACUGCCCAUGAACUACAGGCCUGAAGCCCGAUCCAAAGCCAGAGCCGUCAGAACCGCUUAUGAACUCUGAACACGCAGGCAGAGGCCAUAAAGACACUGUUAGCACAGGAAAACAUUCGAGCUAAGACCCGACAGGAGCUGGACUCGGCCAUCAGAGGGAGUCCACACUGAAGCUCAUGGACACACGCAUCACACACACACACACACACACACACAAACACACACACACACAGACCUUCACUGACGUGCAAACCAGCACAACAUCACACACACACACAGUUCAUACUGACACAAGGCCGGCCUGAAGUAAGCUUACUGUAUGAUUUCUGAGGGAAUUAAAAUGUCUAUGAGCUGAUUAGAUUUGAGCGUUUGAUGUCUAUAAUGCUUCAGAUAAGCUGCCACAGUGGCCUUAGAGAAAUCACACCUUGUUACAUUGCUGAAGAACAUGCCCUUUCAGCUUCGUUUCAUUCACAGAUGUGUAUCUUCACCAGAAUGUGUCUUUUAUGCUCCCUGUCCUGAUCUUUCUGGAGUUCGGCCGUAUGGAUGCCGACGCACUAUGAUGUCAUUGUUUAGCAUUUUGUUUCCCAUCUGCCACUUUUUUUACUCUUAAAAAUAAAGGAGGAGAUGACAGCGAGUGGACGUGAUUCAUUCUCUCCGCGGCUCUGUGUUAAUGACGGAGGUUGAGAUUGUUGUCUCAGAGUCAUGUUGGCAGGGUUUCUCUGAGAGCUGCUCGCAGCUACAUCUGCAACGCCUCCGACUUUACGUUUGACUAUUUUUCUCUCAUCCUCUGAAAUAAGCAUAUUGCCUGGCGUCUGCUGAGUGUGAGAGAAGUCAAAGCAUGAGCCUCGGCACAUCCGACACGAGGUCGGGAGGUUUAUUCGAGGUGAAGCCGUCACAGGGAGAAGUGAGAUUGAGUUUCUGAAGCCCUGUUUGGAAAUUAUUUCUCAGCAGCGCGUCUGUAGAAGAAUGAGUGCAUGGAUAAAACUGAGGAAUUCAGAUGCCAAAUAAUUCACCGAGGACAAGUUUUUAAACCUUAAAAAAAAGAAAUCUGAUGAAUUGGACGUUCACUUCUCUCAUGGUCAUUGCCACAUUAUAAUAAGUAUAUAAUAUAAAGAUUGUGUCAAAUGUGUUAUGUAAAUCUAAAACUGUUAAAUUAAAACAACUGCUAUUUACUGAGGGUCAUAUAAACCUAUACUUGAUUUCUUUAAAGACAUUAAUACUUUUAUUUAUGUUACAAAAUAUUUCUAUUUCAAAUAAAUGCUGUUCUUUUGAACUUUCUAUUCAUCUGCGUAUCCUGAAAAAUAACAUGCAUUACAGUUUCCAUAAAAAUAUUGUGCAGCACAGCUGUUUUCAACAUUGAUAAUAAUCAGAAAUGUUUCUUGAGCAGCAAAUCAGUAUAUUAGAAUGAUUUCUGAAGAUCAUGUGACACUGAAGACUGGAGUAAUGAUGCUGAAAAUACAGCUGCACAUCACAGAAAUAAAUUACAGUUUAACAGAGAUUCACAUAGAAAACAGCUGUUUUAAAUCGAAAUAAUAUUUCAAUUUUUUACUGUAUUUUGAUCAAAUAAUGAGGCAUUGGUGAGCAGAGGUAAAAUCUGAACAGCAGUAAUGUAUCUUUUAAAGGCUUCUUUGAACAGUUCACAUGAUUCACCUCUUGAUGUGUUUUCUUUCUUUCUUAAAAUCUGUGCUGACAAUCUCUCCAAAACAGUCCUUCAUUACGCCCAGAAUACACAAACACUUACAGUGACAGCACACAGAGCUCAAAUGGAAGAGGAUUUUGAAAACAACUUGUGCUCUUCCUCCUAGUGAAAUCAGAGAUGCCAGACCAUGUGAAAACAGGAAGCAGUUUGGCCCAGAAGAUUUUUCAUGGGAGGCAUGUUUUCAAUUCAAACCACCAUUAAAUCACCUGUUCACUGCCUGUGAGAGCUGUCACAUCUUGUUUUACAAUAUAUUCACACUGAAAAAUUAUAAAGUGCAAUCCUAUUUCACAAUAUUACUGUUCUUACUGCAUAUUUGAUCAAAUAAAUGCAGCCUUGGUGUUUGGAUGUUUUAUAAAGAUAGCUGAUAUUGUGUUCUUUUCUAUCAAGACCAAUAUAUGUUCUUCUAAAACUGAUCACUAGACAAAUUGAUAACAGCUGAACUCUUGGGCCAAUGUAAGUGUAAAUAUGUUGAAAUACUGAUGAAAAGAAACUUCUACUUCAAAGCACACGAUCAGAACAUGCUGUGAGAGGUCAGAAAGAUGAAGCCACUGUUUUAAUGCCACCAAACAACAGGACUGAACAGAGAAUUUGUAAAUUGUGCAUGAUCUGAGCUCUUAAUUGAACCAAAGGUCAGUUUUCUGUGAGCAAUACUCAACACAAAGCGCGCUCAUGUUGACUUCAGCCAGCAGGAAAAGGUUUGGAUGUGGCUCAGGCUUCAAGACUUUGGUACAAAUUACUGAAUAUCUAAUCAUAAUCACAGCUGCCAUAAACACAUACUGAUGCAUUAAUGAGUAUCUGUCUGUCAGCAUCAUAAACUCAUCGAUUCUAAUCUUCAGUGUGAUUCAGAGUUGAAUUAUGAUACAUUUACGGUUCCACCUUUGAACGAAGAUGUGAGUUUGAUGUCAGGUUGUUCUGGAGAAUAUAUUACUACCCAUAUUAAUAUCCAUCUCACGGUGCGUUUCCACCGAGCGCUUUCAAUCAUUCCUGUGGAAGCUGAGCUUAAACACUCACACGGUGCAUUAUGGGAUUGAAUGUGUUGAGCGGCCAAGAGCAUCAAAAAGUUGGGCAUUCAAUCAUCAUUUUCCCAAAUGUACUUUCUAAACCAGGUUGUUUUCUUUUAAAGCUGCUCUUCACUGGGAAUAAUUGAUUGACAGGUGAGUAGGUGGAGCUUCACAUGGUCCAGGUCACAUACAUAUUUGGGGGCAUGUCUGUGUACAGUUUGUAUUGUUAUAAAAAAUACUGCAAGAAAUAAAAUUUAAACAUCAAAUUGAAAUACAUGUUUUUCACUUUUAAGGAAUGUUACAUUUUAUUGUUAUGGCCAAAACUACACAACAGCAAAGCUGCACUUAAAAAUCUAAACAUUUGUUUUUAGUAAUUAAUUCAGUAUUUUGCUGCAGUGAAGUUGGAAACAGGGUUGUAAAUCUCAGACACAGUUUUCCUUCCUUCCACAUUUUCAAGGCAUUUGUAACAUUAACAAAAAUGUGUCUGAAAUACCAAAGCAGCAACCAGCGGUGUAAAUAUUUUACUAUCUUACCAUGCCAGAUCUCUAAAGCGUAUUUCCCCAGCUUCAUCUUUACUGCAGAAAUAACUGCAAAUAUGCACUCAGAUGAGCUGAACCUGAAGCCUUCAUGCCCUCUGAUGUCUGUAUUUGUUUGCAGUUAUUCAUGAGGAGAAACUUCACUGGGCAUGAAUGUUUUAAAGCUCAUAUUUUCCUCAGACAGGUAAUGCUGCUGGGUUAGUUUGUUUGUGACUGCUGGGAAACUGCUGCAUAACUCUGUUACCAAACACACAGGCUACAUUUACAGGAUGAUGUCUUGUUCAUAAUAACUAUCAAAUCGAUCUGUCAUUUAAUUACUGCGGCUCCUUCGAAGCUGUGAGGAGACCCAUUGGGCAGCGUGUGCAGUGCAGGAAGAGUAGCUGCUGUGUUCAUGUGUUUGUAAUCACACAGCAUCAUGUCCAAGAGAGAAAAACUUCAGCUCUGACGUCUGACAGUGCAGAUACAACACAUGCUCUGCUCAAUACAAGCUCGAUGGACUACUACUGCAAAUCACUUCCACUGUAUGAACACAAACACAAAUCCUGCUCUCAGUAAUGCACUUACAGUGGAGGUCAGGGGGCAGGUGUACCAGAGGAAUUCAAAGCACAAAUGUCAAGCUGGUAUGUUUGUUAAAGAGAUAGCUCACACCCCAAAAAUGAAAAUUUGCUGCUCAUUUGCUCACACAUAUCUCGUUUGUGGCUACCAUGGUUUAACUAUGGUAACCAUGGUUUUUAUUUUAUUUGUAGUAAAACCAUGGUUAAUUUUCGUAAACGUCACUGUAAAGGACAGCCUGCCGUGAUUUACUUUUGCCGUGGUUUCUGAUUCAGUGUAUUCAAGGUAUUUGAUUCUAUCAAAUUAUCAAGUUUUUGAUACUAAAGGAGACCCUGAGAAAACAGCACAGGGAGAUAGUUUUCAAAACAGCUAAUAUUAGUCAACUGUAACAUUACACUGACUAAAUAUCUUCUUAAGCUCUCAAAUGUCCCAAAAAUCCUUUGACCCACAGUGUGAGUCCUGAACAAAGCAAUGUUUCUUGUCAGAGUGCAUUAGUGAAGCAACUGACAGUAUAUAAAGCUGCAUAAUGCACCUCCACAGUACAGUAUAUCAUGCUCAGGCCAUCCAUGUGUAUUAGUCUGACUCAUGAUGAGAGACAGAGAUGUAAAAAGACAAAUAGAGCAAGUCUGACAGUCAGUACAGAAAAAAUGUCUCUGGUGACGUUAGCGUCUAACAAAGCAGUCGCCCAAUAUCUGACAAGCACAUAUUGACUUUGAACCCAUUAACUCAUAGUUACAGUUCCUCCGUCUGGUCCGUUGACCUCGGAUUACUGUCCUCAUGCAGAACAGAGCUGUCAUCAUUAUCAAAGAGCGGUCAGCCAGGCUUCUUCAUGAAUGAGAUAAAGCCAUUCUCAUGUAAAUUGCUGCAUUCGGUUGACGUUUGCUAAAUGUUUCUGUGAACGAUUAACACAGAUUCAUCAUGAAUGAAUCGUUUCUGUUCUCUGCAGUCCCUCAGCUCAUCUCCUGUGGACCAACUCACCUGCUCCACAACAGCUGCUGAUUGUCUCAACACCCAUUUCUCAUUUGACCUGGAAGAGUUCCAUCAUGCUGCUCCAGACACACACUCACUCGCUCACGCAGGAUUCACUCUUGAACUGCUUUGACAGUAUUUCAUAUGUUCUUGCACACAGUAUGGGCAUUUUCUGUGCAUACUUCAAGCGAAACUGAAGAAUGAACUGGUGUGAUAUAAUUUCAAAUAAAAUUAGGCCAAAACAAAGUUUGUUUGGAAAUCAUUUGAAUACUUUCCAGAAAAUGUUGCUCUGUUUGCUCUGUUUAGACCUUCAAAUUACCAUUGGUCUGUGGUGAUGAUGUCACAUGUGGUUGAGGCUCAGUUGCUCCACCUUCUUUGACACGAAAAUCUUCUCUGGUUCAUUUCCUUCAGUUCAGCCCAUCAAGGUGAGAGACCAGUAAAACCAUGAACACAUUAGAGAACUGUUUUAGAGAUGAAACCAAAGCUGUAAUUAUAACUGAAAGCAACACUGACGCUGUUUUUCAUGUUUAAUACUGUUAAAGGAUUAGUUCACCCAAAAAUUAGUCUGUGUUUUACUCACCCUCAAACCAUCCUAGGUGUAUGUGACUUCCUUCUUUCAGACGAAUCCAAUCAGAGAUACAUUAAAAAUUGUCCUGGCCCCUCCAAGCCUGUCAAUGGGGUAAGCAGGUGUUUGUUGUCAACAGUUCAAAAGACGUGAAAUAAAGCAUGCGCAUCCCUAAUAAAGCGUCCCUCACACGGCUCCGGGGGAUUAAUAAAGGCCUCCUGUAGUGAAUCCAUGCAUUUUUUAAAGAUAAAUAUCCA